GACGAACGCUGGCGGCGUGCUUAACACAUGCAAGUCGAACGGUAAGGCCCUUCGGGGUACACGAGUGGCGAACGGGUGAGUAACACGCGGGUGAUCUGCCCUGCACUUCGGGAUAAGCCUGGGAAACUGGGUCUAAUACCGGAUAGGACUCCGGACUGCAUGGUCUGGGGUGGAAAGAUUUUGCGGUGUGGGAUGGGCCCGCGGCCUAUCAGCUUGUUGGUGGGGUGAUGGCCUACCAAGGCGACGACGGGUAGCCGGCCUGAGAGGGUGAUCGGCCGGAGUAGGCCUGGGAUACGGCCCGGAAUCCGGGGGGAGGCAGCAGGGGGAGGUAUGGCACAAUGGGCGUAAGCCGGAGGCAGGGACGCCGCGUGAGGGGUGACGGCCUUCGGGUUGUAAACCUCUUGCAGCAUCGACGAAGCGAAAGUGACGGUAGGUGCAGAAGAAGGACCGGCCAACUACGUGCCAGCCGCCGCCGUAA
Molecule: ribosomal RNA, 478 nt
Filed under: uncultured bacterium
Lineage: Bacteria
Description: partial 16S ribosomal RNA
Rfam family: Bacterial small subunit ribosomal RNA
Source: RNAcentral